AAAAUGCAACCUGCUAACAGACUGAAAAGAAGAAGAAAAAAGGAACUCGAAGCUCACUGUAAACCGAAGCUCACUGAUUGGUUUUAUCAGUAUAAAUUGUUGGUAUUAUUGUGUAAUAGCCUGCAUUCCCUGCAGUCGAACGUUAAUCGUAAUACUUCUAAAUCCCGAGGCGUUUAAAAGGAACCGAAGACAACUGUAGGAGAAGUUUAAAAGCGAGCGUAUGGGACUGUUACCGCGACUGACCAACGCCUAACAACUUUGUGUGGAGCUCACUUUUUAUUCGGUUGAACCCUGACCACGCCCACCUGAGGACCAUCACACGUGAACAAUGCACAUGGAAUUCCUUCCCAUACUCCUUUGCCAUUCUAAUUUGCAUUCCAAAAGCUCCUGCAGCUGAUUGGUUAGGCUUGAAUCCAAGAAGCUGAUGGAUCAGACAGAGGAUGCACUAUAUUAACACCACAUAGGGGAGACUGAACUCACCAUUGUAAGGUAGACACUGGGAUGCUCUGGAUGGAUACUGAACUCACCUUCGUAAGAACUGAAGUCUGAAAUGUCAGGACAUACUGAAACACCACAACUGCUCAUGUCAGUGAAGGAAGAGAUCAAAGAAGAAGAAUUUGAUGAUUUCCUGCAGGAGUAUCUUUCUGCAAUUCCGAAAGUGGAAGAAAAGCCUGGACUGGAAGCUGACUGUAAGACUGAAAUAUACACAUCACCAAUCUUGACCCACAAAGAAGAUGAGUAUUCACCAGUGGAAAUUAAACAGGAGGAAACAUCUGAUUUGAGAGAAUAUGGUCACCAUGACUCUACUCCUACAGGAGACGUUCAAAGGAUCCAUUCUAGCAAAAGGAGUACAGAGGAAAGAAGAAAGAAUGUC
Long non-coding RNA from Clupea harengus (Atlantic herring), 874 nucleotides. RefSeq lists it as uncharacterized. The record is from RefSeq and is a predicted model, not a curated record. NCBI's taxonomy places the organism in Eukaryota, Metazoa, Chordata, Actinopteri, Clupeiformes, Clupeidae. The transcript is spliced from 4 exons.